GGGUUGUGAGGUUAAGCGACUAAGCGUACACGGUGGAUGCCCUGGCAGUCAGAGGCGAUGAAGGACGUGCUAAUCUGCGAUAAGCGCCGGUAAGGUGAUAUGAACCGUUAUAACCGGCGAUACCCGAAUGGGGAAACCCAGUGUG
Molecule: ribosomal RNA, 145 nt
Filed under: Salmonella enterica subsp. enterica serovar Kentucky
Lineage: Bacteria; Pseudomonadati; Pseudomonadota; Gammaproteobacteria; Enterobacterales; Enterobacteriaceae
Description: partial 23S ribosomal RNA
Rfam family: Bacterial large subunit ribosomal RNA
Source: RNAcentral